RNAcentral lists this ribosomal RNA (450 nucleotides) under uncultured bacterium. Its description in RNAcentral is "partial 16S ribosomal RNA". It matches the Rfam family "Bacterial small subunit ribosomal RNA", at positions 354 to 796 of the family's 1533-position model. The record is from RNAcentral.
GUGGGGAAUAUUGGACAAUGGGCGAAAGCCUGAUCCAGCCAUGCCGCGUGUGUGAAGAAGGUCUUCGGAUUGUAAAGCACUUUAAGUUGGGAGGAAGGGCAGUAAGUUAAUACCUUGCUGUUUUGACGUUACCGACAGAAUAAGCACCGGCUAACUUCGUGCCAGCAGCCGCGGUAAUACGAAGGGUGCAAGCGUUAAUCGGAAUUACUGGGCGUAAAGCGCGCGUAGGUGGUUGUGUAAGUGGGAGGUGAAAUCCCCGGGCUCAACCUGGGAACGGCCGCGAAAACUGCAUGACUAGAGGACGGUAGGGGGAAGUGGAAUUUCCGGUGUAGCGGUGAAAUGCGUAGAUAUAGGAAGGAACACCAGUGGCGAAGGCGACUACCUGGACUGAUACUGACACUGAGGUGCGAAAGCGUGGGGAGCAAACAGGAUUAGAUACCCGUGUAGUCC